GAAAGGCGAAAAGAACCCCGGCGAGGGGAGUGAAAAAGAACCUGAAACCGUGUACGUACAAGCAGUGGGAGCCUCUUAAUGGGGUGACUGCGUACCUUUUGUAUAAUGGGUCAGCGACUUAUAUUCUGUAGCAAGGUUAACCGAAUAGGGGAGCCGAAGGGAAACCGAGUCUUAACUGGGCGUUAAGUUGCAGGGUAUAGACCCGAAACCCGGUGAUCUAGCCAUGGGCAGGUUGAAGGUUGGGUAACACUAACUGGAGGACCGAACCGACUAAUGUUGAAAAAUUAGCGGAUGACUUGUGGCUGGGGGUGAAAGGCCAAUCAAACCGGGAGAUAGCUGGUUCUCCCCGAAAGCUAUUUAGGUAGCGCCUCGUGAAUUCAUCUCCGGGGGUAGAGCACUGUUUCGGCAAGGGGGUCAUCCCGACUUACCAACCCGAUGCAAACUGCGAAUACCGGAGAAUGUUAUCACGGGAGACACACGGCGGGUGCUAACGUCCGUCGUGAAGAGGGAAACAACCCAGACCGCCAGCUAAGGUCCCAAAGUCAUGGUUAAGUGGGAAACGAUGUGGGAAGGCCCAGACAGCCAGGAUGUUGGCUUAGAAGCAGCCAUCAUUUAAAGAAAGCGUAAUAGCUCACUGGUCGAGUCGGCCUGCGCGGAAGAUGUAACGGGGCUAAACCAUGCACCGAAGCUGCGGCAGCGACACUAUGUGUUGUUGGGUAGGGGAGCGUUCUGUAAGCCUGUGAAGGUGGCCUGUGAGGGUUGCUGGAGGUAUCAGAAGUGCGAAUGCUGACAUAAGUAACGAUAAAGCGGGUGAAAAGCCCGCUCGCCGGAAGACCAAGGGUUCCUGUCCAACGUUAAUCGGGGCAGGGUGAGUCGACCCCUAAGGCGAGGCCGAAAGGCGUAGUCGAUGGGAAACAGGUUAAUAUUCCUGUACUUGGUGUUACUGCGAAGGGGGGACGGAGAAGGCUAUGUUGGCCGGGCGACGGUUGUCCCGGUUUAAGCGUGUAGGCUGGUUUUCCAGGCAAAUCCGGAAAAUCAAGGCUGAGGCGUGAUGACGAGGCACUACGGUGCUGAAGCGACAAAUGCCCUGCUUCCAGGAAAAGCCUCUAAGCAUCAGGUAACAUCAAAUCGUACCCCAAACCGACACAGGUGGUCAGGUAGAGAAUACCAAGGCGCUUGAGAGAACUCGGGUGAAGGAACUAGGCAAAAUGGUGCCGUAACUUCGGGAGAAGGCACGCUGAUAUGUAGGUGAAGCGACUUGCUCGUGGAGCUGAAAUCAGUCGAAGAUACCAGCUGGCUGCAACUGUUUAUUAAAAACACAGCACUGUGCAAACACGAAAGUGGACGUAUACGGUGUGACGCCUGCCCGGUGCCGGAAGGUUAAUUGAUGGGGUUAGCGGUAACGCGAAGCUCUUGAUCGAAGCCCCGGUAAACGGCGGCCGUAACUAUAACGGUCCUAAGGUAGCGAAAUUCCUUGUCGGGUAAGUUCCGACCUGCACGAAUGGCGUAAUGAUGGCCAGGCUGUCUCCACCCGAGACUCAGUGAAAUUGAACUCGCUGUGAAGAUGCAGUGUACCCGCGGCAAGACGGAAAGACCCCGUGAACCUUUACUAUAGCUUGACACUGAACAUUGAGCCUUGAUGUGUAGGAUAGGUGGGAGGCUUUGAAGUGUGGACGCCAGUCUGCAUGGAGCCGACCUUGAAAUACCACCCUUUAAUGUUUGAUGUUCUAACGUGGGCCCCUUACCGGGGUUGCGGACAGUGUCUGGUGGGUAGUUUGACUGGGGCGGUCUCCUCCUAAAGAGUAACGGAGGAGCACGAAGGUUGGCUAAUCCUGGUCGGACAUCAGGAGGUUAGUGCAAUGGCAUAAGCCAGCUUGACUGCGAGCGUGACGGCGCGAGCAGGUGCGAAAGCAGGUCAUAGUGAUCCGGUGGUUCUGAAUGGAAGGGCCAUCGCUCAACGGAUAAAAGGUACUCCGGGGAUAACAGGCUGAUACCGCCCAAGAGUUCAUAUCGACGGCGGUGUUUGGCACCUCGAUGUCGGCUCAUCACAUCCUGGGGCUGAAGUAGGUCCCAAGGGUAUGGCUGUUCGCCAUUUAAAGUGGUACGCGAGCUGGGUUUAGAACGUCGUGAGACAGUUCGGUCCCUAUCUGCCGUGGGCGCUGGAGAACUGAGGGGGGCUGCUCCUAGUACGAGAGGACCGGAGUGGACGCAUCACUGGUGUUCGGGUUGUCAUGCCAAUGGCACUGCCCGGUAGCUAAAUGCGGAAGAGAUAAGUGCUGAAAGCAUCUAAGCACGAAACUUGCCCCGAGAUGAGUUCUCCCUGACUCCUUGAGAGUCCUGAAGGAACGUUGAAGACGACGACGUUGAUAGGCCGGGUGUGUAAGCGCAGCGAUGCGUUGAGCUAACCGGUACUAAUGAACCGUGAGGCUUAACCUUACAACGCCGAAG
This 2448-nucleotide ribosomal RNA is filed under the name Escherichia coli. Its description in RNAcentral is "partial 23S ribosomal RNA". It matches the Rfam family "Bacterial large subunit ribosomal RNA", at positions 509 to 2925 of the family's 2925-position model. Lineage: Bacteria; Pseudomonadati; Pseudomonadota; Gammaproteobacteria; Enterobacterales; Enterobacteriaceae. The record is from RNAcentral.